RNAcentral lists this ribosomal RNA (2201 nucleotides) under Salmonella enterica subsp. salamae. RNAcentral describes it as "partial 23S ribosomal RNA". It matches the Rfam family "Bacterial large subunit ribosomal RNA", at positions 699 to 2801 of the family's 2925-position model. The record is from RNAcentral. Lineage: Bacteria; Pseudomonadati; Pseudomonadota; Gammaproteobacteria; Enterobacterales; Enterobacteriaceae.
GUUGCAGGGUAUAGACCCGAAACCCGGUGAUCUAGCCAUGGGCAGGUUGAAGGUUGGGUAACACUAACUGGAGGACCGAACCGACUAAUGUUGAAAAAUUAGCGGAUGACCUGUGGCUGGGGGUGAAAGGCCAAUCAAACCGGGAGAUAGCUGGUUCUCCCCGAAAGCUAUUUAGGUAGCGCCUCGUGAACUCAUCUCCGGGGGUAGAGCACUGUUUCGGCUAGGGGGCCAUCCCGGCUUACCAACCCGAUGCAAACUGCGAAUACCGGAGAAUGUUAUCACGGGAGACACACGGCGGGUGCUAACGUCCGUCGUGAAGAGGGAAACAACCCAGACCGCCAGCUAAGGUCCCAAAGUCAUGGUUAAGUGGGAAACGAUGUGGGAAGGCCCAGACAGCCAGGAUGUUGGCUUAGAAGCAGCCAUCAUUUAAAGAAAGCGUAAUAGCUCACUGGUCGAGUCGGCCUGCGCGGAAGAUGUAACGGGGCUAAACCAUGCACCGAAGCUGCGGCAGCGAACGUAUCACUUAAAACGAUUCAGAAGCUUACGAUUGACGGAGCGAAGCGACGUCAAAGCGUAUACAAAGUCGAGUCGGUUUAAGGAUACGUUCGUUGGGUAGGGGAGCGUUCUGUAAGCCUGCGAAGGUGGCCUGUGAGGGCUGCUGGAGGUAUCAGAAGUGCGAAUGCUGACAUAAGUAACGAUAAUGCGGGUGAAAAACCCGCACGCCGGAAGACCAAGGGUUCCUGUCCAACGUUAAUCGGGGCAGGGUGAGUCGACCCCUAAGGCGAGGCCGAAAGGCGUAGUCGAUGGGAAACAGGUUAAUAUUCCUGUACUUGGUGUUACUGCGAAGGGGGGACGGAGAAGGCUAUGUUGGCCGGGCGACGGUUGUCCCGGUUUAAGCGUGUAGGCUGACUUUCCAGGCAAAUCCGGAGAGUCAAGGCUGAGGCGUGACGACGAGGCACCACGGUGCUGAAGCAACAAAUGCCCUGCUUCCAGGAAAAGCCUCUAAGCAUCAGGUAACAUCAAAUCGUACCCCAAACCGACACAGGUGGUCAGGUAGAGAAUACCAAGGCGCUUGAGAGAACUCGGGUGAAGGAACUAGGCAAAAUGGUGCCGUAACUUCGGGAGAAGGCACGCUGACACGUAGGUGAAGUGGUUUACCCAUGGAGCUGAAGUCAGUCGAAGAUACCAGCUGGCUGCAACUGUUUAUUAAAAACACAGCACUGUGCAAACACGAAAGUGGACGUAUACGGUGUGACGCCUGCCCGGUGCCGGAAGGUUAAUUGAUGGGGUCAGCGCAAGCGAAGCUCCUGAUCGAAGCCCCGGUAAACGGCGGCCGUAACUAUAACGGUCCUAAGGUAGCGAAAUUCCUUGUCGGGUAAGUUCCGACCUGCACGAAUGGCGUAAUGAUGGCCAGGCUGUCUCCACCCGAGACUCAGUGAAAUUGAACUCGCUGUGAAGAUGCAGUGUACCCGCGGCAAGACGGAAAGACCCCGUGAACCUUUACUAUAGCUUGACACUGAACAUUGAGCCUUGAUGUGUAGGAUAGGUGGGAGGCUUUGAAGCGUGGACGCCAGUCUGCGUGGAGCCGGCCUUGAAAUACCACCCUUUAAUGUUUGAUGUUCUAACGUGGACCCGUAAUCCGGGUUGCGGACAGUGUCUGGUGGGUAGUUUGACUGGGGCGGUCUCCUCCUAAAGAGUAACGGAGGAGCACGAAGGUUGGCUAAUCCUGGUCGGACAUCAGGAGGUUAGUGCAAUGGCAUAAGCCAGCUUGACUGCGAGCGUGACGGCGCGAGCAGGUGCGAAAGCAGGUCAUAGUGAUCCGGUGGUUCUGAAUGGAAGGGCCAUCGCUCAACGGAUAAAAGGUACUCCGGGGAUAACAGGCUGAUACCGCCCAAGAGUUCAUAUCGACGGCGGUGUUUGGCACCUCGAUGUCGGCUCAUCACAUCCUGGGGCUGAAGUAGGUCCCAAGGGUAUGGCUGUUCGCCAUUUAAAGUGGUACGCGAGCUGGGUUUAGAACGUCGUGAGACAGUUCGGUCCCUAUCUGCCGUGGGCGCUGGAGAACUGAGGGGGGCUGCUCCUAGUACGAGAGGACCGGAGUGGACGCAUCACUGGUGUUCGGGUUGUCAUGCCAAUGGCACUGCCCGGUAGCUAAAUGCGGAAGAGAUAAGUGCUGAAAGCAUCUAAGCACGAAACUUGCCCCG